Molecule: long non-coding RNA, 312 nt
Organism: Lepidothrix coronata (blue-crowned manakin)
Lineage: Eukaryota; Metazoa; Chordata; Aves; Passeriformes; Pipridae
Exons: 2
Source: RefSeq, a predicted model, not a curated record
GGGAAAAGCAUCUCUGGCACCUGUCCCUCUGUCAGCAGUGCCAGGGGUCAUGGCAGUUUACUCUCUCCUUUCUCUUCUGCUUUCCAGAUGAGUUUGCCACACAGGAGUACAGUGCUCCCUGCACCACAGUCAAGGCUGAACAGGGAAAUUCCUGAAGAAUGCAUCUUGUCUGAGUCUUGCUGUAUCAGCUCAUACGUCUCUGCCCCUAGAAGAUCUUCUUGUUGAGGGUGGGGUAUUGAAACAUUAGAGGAGGACACCUCAAAAACACAAAGGAAGUAACAUUGUAAAUAAAUUAAGUCUUGAUUCUCAUCA